CUUAACAGGAACCACAUGAAAGGCUCCUCCCCAGAUAGGAUUACGGGAGAUCAGCAUUUUAGUAGGUUGUGAUGGAGCACUGGAUACCUACCCCAUGCUGUCUGAAAUGCUCAGAGAUUUGAAUCCACAGAACAGAAGUUAAACGUAGAAAUGAAGGAUUUAAAGUAACCCAGCAUUUGAAACACUGGUACGAUUAAUUCUUCAAUUAUAAAGGAAUUCCAGUAUUUCCAAAAUAAUACUGACUAUUCUGAAACAUUACCCUUCCAAAAGUUUAUAGAAAAACAUGCAAAGGGUUGUCUGGAGCUUAGAUGAUGACUUUAAGGCUGCAUUUUUUAAAAGCAGCAUACUAGUGCAGGUCCAGAGCCUCAGCUACAUCAACAACUCCGUUUGUGUUGGUGGAGAUAUUCCACUAAAUGAAAUAACCUGUCCCAAGGUAUUGCACUGACUGAGACGAGGAAAAAGCACAGGAAUUACCAUAAGGCUGUUCCAAUUUAUAAAAAGUCUGCAAUGGAAAUUUCUCAAAUCAAAACAGAGGUAACUGCAGGAAUGCAGCUUUAUAAACCUGCAAAGGAGAUGGCAAGAUCAAGAACAUCCAUGCACACUGUGUGUGGGCAAUGUUUGUACUGAUUAUCAAAGAGAAAUGACACGCUGCACAUCUAAACAUCACAGUUUCUGACUGUCUUAGUAAAUUUCUAGCAAAUGAGAGCAAAAACUUCAUCCAUACAGAGUACACUAUCACAUCACAACUGUUCCCAAAACAUUCAGGGGAUCACUAAGCAGCCAAAAGGUAACACACCCACACCAUCAGCUCAGCGCUAUCACCUAAAAAAUAUGGGGGUGAAAAACCUGAGGAGCAGAACCUGGCGCCUGGAGCCCAGUGCACUCCACAGGAGCAGCUGCCUCAUCUCUCCAUGCCACUGCUGAGGGAACGCUCCCAGCCUGGCUGUGCAUGACGCAGGGUUUUGCCUGCCAGGAGCUGUAAACAAGGAAUGAUGGCCUCACUGCAUCCCAGAUGCUCAGCGUGCUUUCUCUGUCGAGUGACUGACUCAGGAGAUGGCAGCCAGCACCAGGCCGGGAUGCAGGGCUGCAUCCACGCGAGGCAGCAGCUGCCUGAGAAAACCCACAGUAGCCUCAAAAACUUUGGAAACUUCCAAAAACUCAAGGCUUUUCACCACUUCUGACAGCAGCAGAAUAAAUCAAGGGGCCAAGCUCUGGCUGAGCAAACCUCUCCCACACCAUCUCAGGGAGUGACCUCUGCGGGUGCAGACCUGAGGGCCUGGGUUGGGUUCAAGGCAUCCUGCCCAAUCUCUGAGGAAACCUCAGAAUGAUGGCUCUGAUAGCACUCACUGACUGCAGCUAAAGGAACGUCUGUCCUCCACGUCGCUCACCCCCAGCUCCCACAAGGGCAGAGCAGCAAAUGCAACAUGUCAGGAUGGUGGGAUGUGCCUACAACAUAAGCGUGGGCCAAAGCAGCUGUGUCUGGGGUGGUCUGGUUGGUAAGGGCAGGGAAGCCAGCACAGAAGACAAACUGCCCUCCCCAUCCUAUGCACUGCAGCGUCAGACUCAUGUGCUGCAGGUUGAGGGAUGCCUCCACAUGUGGCAAUGCUAUCUCCAUGCCUACUGUAAACAAACCCCAAAAAUUCAAGAAUUACUGAGAAACAACCACUGCUCCGCCAGCAAGUUCACUGAUGUCAUGACAAUCCCUGCUGAGAAAACCACCAGUUGAUCUUUUCAACCACGAAUCAGAUUCUUAAAGCUGAUUUGUAACCAGAAAAGUCCCAACAAGUGACCUGCGUAAGAAUCGAAGUCAGAGGCUAUGUUUUGCUUUUCAGUCUGCACUAUUUGAGUCCAGCAGACAAGUAGCCUGUCAAAGCUAUUCUGAGUUUGGUUUCUGACUAUGGUUGAACACAAAUUAAAACCUGUAACCACUACUGAUUCCUUAAGUACUAAAAGCAGAUACAGCUUAAAAUCUUCAAAAGAAGACUAAAACACAUCUCAUGUACAGGGCCCAUAUUUUUAAUUGUGUGAAGUCCUGGUAUUUUCACCUUCUAUCCAUUAUUUGCAUUUUAAAUAUAACAAAUUUGUUUAAACCUGAGAUGUAAAGCAACGUCUGCAAUAUACAGAAAAAGACAGCUGGCAUUUGCCUACCUACCAGCACUCAGGGCAAGACACCUAACUUAGCAUUCUUGCAAUACACUGACUUUUGGCAUUAACUAGAUUUUUACAGAGUAUAAAAUGAAUUGACAGAUCAUUUGAUAUGACUUAAUCAGUGUGGUAAUUACACUAGCAUAAUGACUGGACAGCAUCCACUUCUGACUUUUUUGUAUUACUUAAAUUUUUUCUCAUUUGUUAAAGUGUAAUUAAUAGAUGGGUUUAUGGAUGCAUAUACCGUCAAAAUAUAAAUUGUAGCCAAUGUGAGUUGACAGUAACCCUUUGAUGUCAAAUGGUAUUUUUUAUGUUUAUAUUUCCUUUGUUUUCUAAUAGCAGAUCUAAGCCAUUGUGGUCUAUUGUGUAAAUAUGUAUCAUGGGCUUUGUCUGCAGUGCCAACAGAGCAAAUGACUUUCAGAAAUUGUAUGUUCUGUAAGUCCUAAUGAGGUGCUGGGUCAUAAAAGUUAUUACACAAGA
Long non-coding RNA from Coturnix japonica (Japanese quail), 2625 nucleotides. RefSeq lists it as uncharacterized. The record is from RefSeq and is a predicted model, not a curated record. Lineage: Eukaryota; Metazoa; Chordata; Aves; Galliformes; Phasianidae.